Non-coding RNA from Aegilops tauschii subsp. strangulata, 3856 nucleotides. NCBI's taxonomy places the organism in Eukaryota, Viridiplantae, Streptophyta, Magnoliopsida, Poales, Poaceae. The record is from RefSeq and is a predicted model, not a curated record.
GCUAACGCCCACACGUGUGGGCGUUAACAUUUCCAAUACAAUUUGCUAGAGGAAACAAAUAACAAAUUUUAAGGAAACAAAUAACUGACAUUAAGGGGGAAAAUCCAAUUUACUAAUACACAUGAAUCAUGAUGGAAUCAGAACUUUCCUAAUACUCCUACAUCGCAAAUCACCACAUAUUCACUUGUCGUGGCUCCCGUUCCACGAAUAGGAAAUUCCCAGCAGCUUCGACCCCUUUCACACACGACCAUGGGUCAAUGGCGCCGCUGCCCAUCGCCGCCAUGCCACACGCGAGGGGGCUCUACCAGUCGACCUGGCCGCCUCGCUCCCUCGCGCCCGUGUGCCGGGGAGCGACACCGCGCGACGCAGACCGCUGGCCGCCGCGUGCGCCGGGCACGCCUCAGCCGGGAGCAGAGGUAUCGGGGCCGGGGGCCACCGCGCGCACUAUGCGCUAGCCGUGCCUCCAGUGGGUCGGUGCAGCCAAGGUCGCCGUCUCGUCGGGGGCAACGUGCGGGUGCGGGCGUCACGGGUCGCCGUCGUCGUGGACGGUGAGCGUGCCGAGGCUGCCGCUUGCGCGUGCAGGCCGGGCGUCGAGCCGCAUCAACGUCGUUGAGGUCGCCGACAGCGGCAGGUGCUAGGGGCCUCCUCCGCCGCGUGAUGCGGCUGUGCUGCGGAGAGCCGGGCCGAGGGCCACUCGUAGGAGCAGCGCGUCGUGGCUGUGGUCUCCACCACGACGGGAGGACUGGUGCUACUGCAUUCCUCUUCCACGAGGAUAUUAUUGCUGCAGUGAUGGCGAGCGGCACCGGCCGGUAGUACCAGCCCCAAUGGUGGAUGGACCAGGAGAGACAUUGAAGCCGUGGACACAUAGUACAAUCAGCUGAUGAACUCUCCACGGAGCCCAUAGUAAAAAAGCUCUCCCUCUCCUGCCGGCUUGCAUCUCAAUUAUUUAUUUUUGCUGCUCGCUGUUCCACAUAUCAAUGCAUUCACACGGUGAUACAACUUGAUUCAAGUGCUUGCAUACAAGUAGAAUUGCUAUUUUUUGUGCCAAAAAUUGAUUUGUUAUCCUGAACUUUUGUCUGCUUGUUUCCACUGUGAUGCAGACAGAAAUGAUAUAUUAUCGGGUAAAUUACGCAUUAGCUGAGAGCGGUAUGAAUGUAUAUUGGGAAUAAAAAAAACUAUUUUCUUUAGUUGUACUGCUCUUGUUUAUGUAUGCUGAAUUACAAGCGACCAAUGAGCAUGGAGAUAUAAUGAUCAGUGAUACAAGUGGUGGUGAUAGGGAGGCUUUUGUUUCAGCUUGUUUAUUUUCGUUUUUGAUACAUGGAUACUGGAUUCAUAGCUCUCCUGGGCAAUCAGUACACGGCCAUAAGUCUGAUCGAUGUGGUGGGCAAUCAGUACACGGCCAUAAGUCUGAUCGAUGUGGUGGGGAUGGUCUCUGAUGUUGGAUAAUAUCUGUUUUCUCUUCUUGAUUGUAGGUCAGUCUCAUAUAACUUAUAUGCCUAUGCUUUGGUUAAUGCAUACUCACUACGGGUAUGGUCUAUUAUUGAUGUUCAUACACAGAAUUGGUUUUGCCAAAUUAUGUUCGAUUAACAUGUUGUUAUAAUAAUAGAAAGCUUUUGCAAAAUUCUGCAUGAUGUCGUAUUAAGCUUGAUGGAACUAACCUCCCAAAAUGGCAAUCUCUAUCGGUGUUUUUUUAUCUCUGUUGAUAAGUUUUGAUCUCAGGUUGCACGUAAAGUUCUUGACCCAUAUUCUAAAUACCACAUAUAAUCUUUGAUUGUUACUUUGAAUACAUAUGAUGUUGAAUCUGUCUCCUUUGGAUCUCCAAAUGAUUUGCAAUGUUGGAUACCAGAAAAUAGAUUGAGCAGCCAUCACACAUUAGACUAAUAAUAUAUGGCAUGUUACCUGGCCGUUCUCUUUAUACACAAUAGUAUAGUUAUAUAUACCAACUGUAGAAAAAUAUUCAUUUGCCACUGAAACUUAUAUUUGUUUUCUAUUUCGGAAAUUAAGAGCAUCUACAAUCAGACCCCUCAAGUAUCCCAUUUGAGAGUCCGGUCAUUGUCCUGGACAGAAAAGAGAAGAAAAAAGGCCACCCAAUCACAAUCCCUACUUUGUCUGGGCAUGUGAGGAGCAUAUAAGGAUGUCCGAGCUGUUCGGGCAUGUUCUCCAAGGAGCACCCAGGUUAAUGUGCACCUGGGAAAAAUAAAACUAAUCAUGUGCAUGGUGGCAAAUAGAGAUGGGGAAGCAGGAGGAAGAUGCUGGUGUUUGUCCGACGCAAUCUGAAAGCAUGCUUAAAAUCAAUGAAAAUAGAACAAAAAUUUACUAUCAUUCUCUCAAACCUUACACUGAACUUGCUACUAAGGAAGGUAUGCAUGAUGCAUAUCAAGUAAGUCCUGUCCGCAAUUGUUUUAUCUUCCACAAUUGUUUCUUGUGUCACUACUGUUAGAGUUCAAAAUGUCCAAAACAAGAUAACAUUUACCGAUGCUGCUAAAUGACCGGUUCAAAAUAAAUAGAUCAGCAGUUUUCCAGUUUUAUCAGUUUCACAUGGAUGUAUCCCUUGUUGUAGGCAGCCAACCCACUGCAAGGUGUGUGCCCUCGAGCAAUUCUUACUCUGUAUUGGUAACAAUAACUGGAAUUGGCUUCUUUUGCUUUACAAUUAGUAGUAUUGAAGAUUACUUCCUUGCUGUUUCACCACUAAAAUUGAGGUGAUUUCAAAUGAAUUUAGAGUUCCAAAGUUUGAGAUUCUAGCAGGGAAAAAUGAUUUGGUAACCGAAGAUAAACAGUCUGGACUUUACUAUUGUUUGGUCUAUUGGAAUCCGAGACUUGACCAUGAACCCAUGAUCAUAUUGGUUUCCUUUGAAAGAACAUGAGAUAUCUUGUUUAUUAUGAUUCACUCAUGGAAGCAUGCUUCGUUUAUUUUUUUGCGUCAUCUGCCUCACGAGCCGUCCAAUCGGUCGUGGUCGUGCGGCGCUUGGUUUGUCUCGCGCCACCGUCCUCCUUGGUGCCAUAAAGGUCUCACCUAGACGCUCGGUUACAUCACACAUUUCUCUCGCAAGUAAAAAAUCCCUACAACUUUCUAGAUCUGGCGGCACAGCCUGACACGACCGGCUGUAAGCUUCCGCAGCGGCGAAGCCGAGGCUGCGACGGGGAGCGGAGACGUGAGCAUCCAUGUCUUAGAGAAUCGACGGGACGCUCCGCCGCGCAGGUACUCAUCUCACCUCCACAUGAUUUGACGACAUUGACGUGUGGCAAUAUCUCACCUCCACAUGAUUCGACGACAUUGACGUGUGUGGCAAUGUUGCGGUGCAUGCUUCAACGGCCGCACCGACGCUUUGACGGCCAUGAUGACAAGGCGUGCUUCGAUGGCAUUGAUGGACACUGCAAUGCUAUGACAUGUGCUUCAACGAACACGACGAUGAGACGUGUUACGACGACGGCAUCGUUGACAACAACCGCGAUGCUGUGAGGCAUGCUUUCACGGUGAUGCUUCGACUGGCCAUGGCAACAAGGUGUGCUUCGACGACAGUUGAUGAUGCAUGCUUCGACGGCAGGUGCCCGUCCGCUGUUCUAUGAAGGCUUGUUUGAAGGCUUAUUUUUGUGCUAGAAUGAUGGCGGACGUGCUGGACGCUUGCUGGUGCGGGCCGAGUGGAAGAGUGUGAUGUGAGAGAAAGGGUACGGGGUGUUUGCCUGUUGCGUGAGUAGGAUGGGAAGAUGGAGAUAAUCAAAGGGUCACGCACGGCUGUACAUGCGGUUGAUCUUUUUCUAAGAUUAACCAGCUGAUUUGUACCAAAUGAUAGAAGAAAAUGAUUCCAAAUCACAACAUUUCAUUCGUUCAUAUGGAAUUACAACAAGUUCUCACUGA